This 449-nucleotide ribosomal RNA is filed under the name uncultured bacterium. RNAcentral's name for it is "partial 16S ribosomal RNA". It matches the Rfam family "Bacterial small subunit ribosomal RNA", at positions 330 to 793 of the family's 1533-position model. The record is from RNAcentral.
GCCAGACUCCUACGGGAGGCAGCAGUGGGGAAUAUUGCACAAUGGGGGGAAACCCUGAUGCAGCAACGCCGCGUGAGUGAGGAAGUAUUUCGGUAUGUAAAGCUCUAUCAGCAGGGAAUAGAAAAGAAGGUACCUGAAAAAGAAGCCCCGGCUAACUACGUGCCAGCAGCCGCGGUAAUACGUAUGGUGCAAGCGUUAUCCGGAUUUACUGGGUGUAAAGGGAGCGUAGGCGGCGCGUUAAGUCUGAUGUGAAAACCCGAGGCUCAACCCCGGGACUGCAUUGGAAACUGCCGGGCUGGAGUGCCGGAGGGGUAAGCGGAAUUCCUGGUGUAGCGGUGAAAUGCGCAGAUAUCAGGAAGAACACCGGUGGCGUAGGCGGCUUACUGGACGGCAACUGACGCUGAGGCUCGAAAGCGUGGGGAGCAAACAGGAUUAGAUACCCCGGUACG